RNAcentral lists this signal recognition particle RNA (98 nucleotides) under Actinobacillus delphinicola. RNAcentral describes it as "Bacterial small signal recognition particle RNA". It matches the Rfam family "Bacterial small signal recognition particle RNA". Rfam says of the family: The signal recognition particle (SRP) is a universally conserved ribonucleoprotein involved in the co-translational targeting of proteins to membranes. Archaeal SRP consists of a 7S RNA and homologues of the eukaryotic SRP19 and SRP54 proteins. The record is from Rfam by way of RNAcentral. Lineage: Bacteria; Pseudomonadati; Pseudomonadota; Gammaproteobacteria; Pasteurellales; Pasteurellaceae.
UUCUCGGUCUCUCGCAACAGUCUCUGGUUUACCUGGUCAGGUUCGGAAGAAAGCAGCCAAAGUCAGAUGUCCUGUGUGCCGAGAUAAGCUGGGAAGGU